Pygocentrus nattereri (red-bellied piranha) is the source of this 475-nucleotide long non-coding RNA. NCBI's taxonomy places the organism in Eukaryota, Metazoa, Chordata, Actinopteri, Characiformes, Serrasalmidae. The record is from Ensembl.
GUUUUUGUUGACCCUGUACCUUGUCAAAUUGACUCAGUAAAGCUGCCAGUAUAUUCUGGAACUCUAGCACAGAAGCAUGAAGCCUGCGGUGUGUCUGACAUGUUGCCUCCUUCUUCUUUCUGGAAUUAGAGACGGCGUGAAGGGUGUCAUCAAAAAAACCCUAGACUUUGAUGUGGGGGUCCUGUAUGAGUAUGAAUACAGCAUAUCCAUGGCAGUGGCUCCUAUUUCUGUGGACUUUGGAGAUGUCCCUCUGACCACCGCUGAGGCAGUAAUUCAGGUCCACUCACUAUGGAAGAACCCUCAGAACCAGGAAGAACAGCUCCUUCACAUUAAAAUUCAAGAUCUAAAACUUACUCCCAGUUCAACUGACACCACCAAACCCCUGGCUGUGGACGAGAAGACUGGUGGGUUUGCUCAGAUAAAGGAUGUAUUUAUUGUGCAUAUCCACUCUGGAAAGGUAUGUUUAUUCAUUUAG